This 258-nucleotide unclassified non-coding RNA is filed under the name Hevea brasiliensis (rubber tree). Lineage: Eukaryota; Viridiplantae; Streptophyta; Magnoliopsida; Malpighiales; Euphorbiaceae. The record is from RNAcentral.
CUAAAAUUUGCUAGGCAGAAGCUGGAUUAUUGUUACUUCUCCAGUGCAGCUACACUCUUCGCUCCUGAACUGUCUGAUGCCCGCAUGUCAUGGGCAAAAAAUGCUGUGCUUACUACUGUUGUUGAUGACUUCUUUGAUGUUGGAGGGUCUGAGGAGGAAUUGGUCAACCUUAUCCAAUUGAUUGAAAAGUGGGACGUAGAUGGGAGCACUCACUGUUGUUCAGAGCAUGUCGAGAUCUUGUUUUCAGCACUUCACAGC